RNAcentral lists this ribosomal RNA (468 nucleotides) under uncultured bacterium. RNAcentral's name for it is "partial 16S ribosomal RNA". It matches the Rfam family "Bacterial small subunit ribosomal RNA", at positions 28 to 507 of the family's 1533-position model. The record is from RNAcentral.
GACGAACGCUGGCGGCGUGCUUAACACAUGCAAGUCGAACGGAAAGGCCCUGCUUUUGUGGGGUGCUCGAGUGGCGAACGGGUGAGUAACACGUGAGUAACCUGCCCUUGACUUUGGGAUAACUUCAGGAAACUGGGGCUAAUACCGGAUAGGAGCUCCUGCUGCAUGGUGGGGGUUGGAAAGUUUCGGCGGUUGGGGAUGGACUCGCGGCUUAUCAGCUUGUUGGUGGGGUAGUGGCUUACCAAGGCUUUGACGGGUAGCCGGCCUGGGAGGGUGACCGGCCACAUUGGGACUGAGAUACGGCCCAGACUCCUACGGGAGGCAGCAGUGGGGAAUAUUGCACAAUGGGCGGAAGCAUGAUGCAGCAACGCCGCGUGCGGGAUGACGGCCUUCGGGUUGUAAACCGCUUUCGCCUGUGACGAAGCGUGAGUGACGGUAAUGGGUAAAGAAGCACCGGCUAACUACGUG